UAUAUGGCCACCAGGAUUGCUUGUGUAGUCAUCCAAGCCAUGGCCACUAGAGUACUUUUAUAAACUCCAAACUGGCCUCUAUUUCAACAUUUGUCCCUGAAUUCAUUCUCCACAUUGAGCCAUAGUGAUCUUUUAAACAUAUAACUCAGAUCACGUCGUUGUUCUGCUUGAGACUCUUCAGUGGCUCCCUAUCAUCCUUAGGAUAACAUCUAAACUCUCUGCAUGGCCUGCAAGGUUCCUUGUCACCCAGCCCCUGCCUGCUCCUCUGACAUCACCUUCCUCAUGCUACCCUUCAGUUACUGACCGCUGUUUACAAUUCUUACCUCUUUAGUGUCUCUCCCCUCCCACUGCCCUGGAAGGUAAUCUCCAGGAGAAGAGGGAUCUUGUCUCUCUUUUUAUGGAUGUACCCCGAGUAGGGUACCAUGAGGAUCUGAUGCUUGCUUGGUAGGUGCUCAAACACUGUUUAUUGAAGGAAUGAAUACAAACAUUCCAGUAGACAGCCUCCAAGAUGACCCUCAAGGAUCCCUGGCUCCUAGUAUUCAUGCUGUGGUAUAGUCCCCUCCCACACUGAGUAGGGCCAAUUUGUAUAAUCAAUAGAAUCAAAUAUUGCAGAAGUGAUAGAGUGUGACUUCUGAGGCUAGGUCACGGAAGACAUUGCAAUCUUUGUCUUGUUUUCUGGGAUCACUGGCUCUACGGGAAGCCAGCUGCCAAGCCCCAAGAAUACUCACGUAGUUCUACCAAGAGGUCCAUGUGGUGAGAAACUGAGGCCUCCUGCCCGCAGCCAUGUGAGUGAGCCAUCUUGGAAGCAGCCCCUCCAGCCCAGGCAAGCUUCAGGAGACUGCAGCCACAGCUGACAUUUUAACGACGACCUCAGGACGGUCCAUGAGCCAGAAGCCACUUCUGAAUUCCUGACUCACAGAAACUAUAAGGAUCAUAACAUAGGUAAUGUUCAGAAACCAG
This 960-nucleotide long non-coding RNA is filed under the name Homo sapiens (human). RNAcentral describes it as "HSALNT0221971". Lineage: Eukaryota; Metazoa; Chordata; Mammalia; Primates; Hominidae. The record is from RNAcentral.